UACCUGAUUCUUCGGAUGAAAGUUUGGUGACUGAGUGGCGGACGGGUGAGUAACGCGUGGGUAACCUGCCCUGUACAGGGGGAUAACAGCUGGAAACGGCUGCUAAUACCGCAUAAGCGCACGAGGAGACAUCUCCUUGUGUGAAAAACUCCGGUGGUACAGGAUGGGCCCGCGUCUGAUUAGCUGGUUGGCAGGGUAACGGCCUACCAAGGCAACGAUCAGUAGCCGGUCUGAGAGGAUGAACGGCCACAUUGGAACUGAGACACGGUCCAAACUCCUACGGGAGGCAGCAGUGGGGAAUAUUGCACAAUGGGGGAAACCCUGAUGCAGCAACGCCGCGUGAGUGAAGGAGUAUUUCGGUAUGUAAAGCUCUAUCAGCAGGGAAGAUAAUGACGGUGCCUGACUAAGAAGCUCCGGCUAAAUACGUGCCAGCAGCCGCGGUAAUACGUAUGGAGCAAGCGUUAUCCGGAUUUACUGGGUGUAAAGGGCGCGUAGGUGGCAGUGCAAGUCAGAUGUGAAAGGCCGGGGCUCAACCCCGGAGCUGCAUUUGAAACUGCUCGGCUAGAGUACAGGAGAGGCAGGCGGAAUUCCUAGUGUAGCGGUGAAAUGCGUAGAUAUUAGGAGGAACACCAGUGGCGAAGGCGGCCUGCUGGACUGUUACG
RNAcentral lists this ribosomal RNA (662 nucleotides) under uncultured bacterium. Its description in RNAcentral is "bacterial SSU rRNA". It matches the Rfam family "Bacterial small subunit ribosomal RNA", at positions 65 to 741 of the family's 1533-position model. The record is from RNAcentral.